CCCGCUUCCUCUUGCGACUCCAGGUCGACGCAAAUAAAGCCAAGACGCAAUUUCUGCGGUAAACAACUGAGCCGCCAAACUUAGAACUUGGCAAUUUGCACAUUUUAAAGAAAAUAUAAUAAUACAUAUUUGUAUGUAGUAUAUUCGACAACUCGGAAGCAGUGCCGUCAUGACUAAUCCACGUACGAGUGCUAUGCUGGGUUCUUGGUCAGCUUUCAAAGUUCCCAAAAAUUUGAACGCCUCUCCACCGGAUAUUCGAGUGCUGAAUCAAUGCUAAGCAGACUCGCCUCAACUUGUUUCAAAUUCGAAUGCAAGUGAAUUUGCCUUCGACAAACCGAAAGUGAAAAAUUUAAUUUCAAAAGCAAAGCAUUUGAUUCGGGGUACGGGGCCAAUGCCUCUUGCCAAUGUACGAAGAGAAAACAAGUGAUAUUGGCCUUGAAUUCGCUAUAUAGCAUAUAGACGAAUACGAUUGUGAAACACCUCCCUAGGAAAGAUUACUUCUACUCUGUUCAACAAUUUACGCAGAAUCCGGUUGCUAUAAUAACUUCGCAUUUGCAUGAAAACGUACCGGAUAUCCGCUUUGUCGGCCAGCAAGGAACUGGAGAUAAUGGCACCGACCAGAGGCAAUAAAACCGGCGGACUCUCCACUCCGAGAUUGCCAUAUUGUGCGGCACGGCACGUGUUUGGGCCACGCACUUGGCCAAAUUGCUUUAUGGCCACUAGACAGCGGGCACAGGCCCGGCGGCGUAUUUACGAGAUAUUCGGGGGACAUAUCCCAUUAUAAUGGGCGGGAAAUGCGAAGUGGGAAAUGAGAAAUGGGCGGAACAACCCGGGCGUAUGAGUAAUGCGUGUGUGCACAGCAUUUUGGCCCAAGGGCGCAGUGUGAUUUUUGGCAAGCCAAGAAGCGAAUGCGAAAUUAAAUAGCCAAGAAGGCACGAAAAGACAAAAGGGGGGAAAAGGCGUCGAAAGACGUGGGAAAGACCAUGCUGGUGUCAUUAUUAGCCGCUUUUGCCAAAAUGAAGGGAGGAAGGCGAAGAUACAUAUAUGCAAAAGACGGGUGCGUGCCAACAAAAGAAUGUGUUGCAUACUUUCCAGCGCGACGCCUUGGAAUUUCGCGAAAAAUAAACGCUGCUGCACAAACAAAAGUGAUAAGUCUGCCACAUUAGCGACGUCAACUUGUCUGCAAUGUCGCUCGCAGCACGAUAAUUAAAUUAUGUGCCACAAAACAAAAAAAUGCAUAUGGCGAUUUGCACGCUUAAGCCGCUAUUAUUCCAAAAUUAGAUACUUAAUUGCAAGCGAAAUCAAGAUUAUCGUAAAUUAAUGGCUGUUUUGUGCAGCUAAUGUUUUAAACUAUCCUUAUUUAAAUAAUACUCUAAAUUUUCAAAAAUACAUUUUUUACAUUGACACGAGAAGUGAGUCAUGCGAAAAAAGCUGACUAACUAAAAAUAAACCUGGUGGGUUAAUAAUAAAAGAUGGCAAGCCCCAUUCUAUCAUUCCAAAGAGCCCCUCCAUAAUUGAUACAACUAAAUUUAGCGGCGUAAACAAAGGCUGUGAGAAAAAACACCGAAGGAACGGAAAGGGGAGCGCUGAUGGAAAAGUUAUUCGCAGGCAAUUUCCGUGAAAUGUUGUAAACAAAUAAGCGAAGAGCGGGCUUCCUGUCGCGGCAGACAGAAAAUCCGAGAGCAAUCAAUCGAUAGUUAUGUUUUGUUUUCAGCAUCCAUAGUUCGCUUCUGCACACUUUUCCCAAUGUUUUCGAUAGGGUUUUCAUGUCUCGUGCACUUGUCGCACAAUAAAAAGCGGAAGAACAAAAGCGAAAACCUUUUUCGAAUCGUUAGGCAGUAAAAAAGUUGAUAGAAAUAAAAUUAAGCCUGGCUCGAUGUUUAUUUUUUUUUGCGCAGAUGAAGAGACGGGGGGCAGGGCAGACAGGGGGGCCUUUUAGUUGGUGCGUCAAUAAAGUUGAGCGAAAAUAUUUGCACAGCGUUCAACCGACGAACAAACGAGGCGCUUUCCUUUUGUUCUUCGCUGUUUUAUGGCCCAUAAACAAAGGCCCAAUUUGAAUGUUUGGCGAUUGAAGCCCAGAGAGCUGGAAGAAACUGGCCAACAGCUGGUCUGGAGACCCCAUUAAAGAUGGCCAUAUACGCAGAACCAGUUGCUCGCCACUUUUUCACGACAGAGACGAAACGUUCUAACGGCACGAAAAGGCUAAAAUUAUGGUCACAAAUCAUGAGGUAAGACGAUUCAUAAUACCCAUAACUGUACGGUAUUACGUACAAAAUAUGAUUUUUGGGGGCUUAAAUGCAAAAUGAGGACAUUACUUUAAUUUUAACGUCACAUUUACACAUUUAAAAUCAGAAGAAAAAGGGCAUGAUAUCAUGUUUAAAUGUAAUUUAAUGCCUUUCCUAUAUUCAUGUGGUCUUUUCCGGUUUCUGGCAAGGUGUUUCCAUCCGCUUUUGGCCAAAAAAUUAAAACACAUAAACAGAGAGACUGCUGAGACUGCCGAGCUGAAGAUCUCCAAUUUCGUCUGAGCCUCUCUUGUUUACGCUAAAAUCGGCCCAAAAACAAAGGAGGGGCAAGUGCAGGAGGCGAGUUGGUAAACCAGUUUUCCACCGCACUCGACCAGAACGGACGCCGUCGGAAAAGGAAACGGAGAAGGAGGAGUGAGUGGCAGGGCCAUCAACAGGUAACCCAGUGCACCUACAGGCCACGCAGCACCAUCCAGAAGUAACCAGCGCCAUCAUAUUGUACCAUUGUCCAUCCUAUCAGCAUCAACGUAUCACCAAAGUCAAUGUGUUUCCGUCAGCUGCCGUUGGCCUCAGCUCAGAAAGGCAGAAAGCCAGAAAGACAGAAAGGAGCUGCCAUUGUUGAUAGCGCUGCAGUUCUGGUUCGCUGUUGUUUUGAUCGGGCUGAAUUUUGGGCUCUGCAAACGGGUUUGCGAGUGCACUCAUUCAGCCCAGCCAACCCCCUCUGCCACCUAUUACCAAUUUACUCAGGCCUCUUGGUUGUUGUUAUACCCUUUCAGGUAAUUCGGAGAUUUUAACUUGGCUAAGAUGGCUUAAAAGUCAUCAAGGAUAAUCCUUCAAUCCCGAAAUUGGUAUUGCUACCACCUUUUAUUAUUCUUGCAAAUCUUUUUUAUUGAGAAAUGUGAAACAGAAUCUACAUGGUAAAGAACGAUUGUGAAAAACACCCUGAAUGAACUAGGCCAUCCUGCACAAUAUCCUUGCGACGAUCAAAUAUUUAUGGUAUAAUGGGAUAAUAUGUUAAUGUUACACUGCACAAAGUCACCCUAAAGAGAGUAUCCCAAGCUUCAGUGGCCGUUGGAAAGCAGCCUUUGUGCUGGUCUCAUUGUUUUGGCUCUGGUUUUGGCAAAGGGCAGGGAGCCGAGGAAGUGGUUUUUCCUGCCGUACCUGUACGAGUUUCCCUGUCUCGGCCUCUCUGUGCCCAUCUCUUUCGCAGGACAAAGAAAAUGCAUGAGGAGAAUGCAGAGUGUGUGGAACUUGUUCCUGAUCCCAGAGGGGUUGCAAGGAGCAGUAAAUGGGAAUCUGAGCGUUUCCAGGAAUAACAAAACGAUAAUCGAUGGUAUUGCAGCGAGGAAUGCACGUAAUUAAAGGGAAGUGUAUAGAUUGUUCUGGGGCAGAUUAAUUAUGCCGAGAUUCUCCGUUCUCGGCCGCUACUCCAUCCCGUCCCUAUCCCUCUCUCUGCCUACUUAUCUCCUUCGCCUCCUUUGUUCCUCGGUCACGUCCAUGUAAUUGCCAAUAAUCACAAUAUGCGCUUCGGUAGGAAAAUUCAAUUUACAUGCCGCCAGUGGAGCGAAAAAACGAGAGAGGCGCAGAAUUGAAUUACAGGAUGACCCCGGUGAGAACGCUUAUGAAAUAUGCCAAAGGUGACUUUCAAUUAAAUGCCACCCAGCCAGAGGCGUGCGAAGGAUUUAAAAAGGGGCUGAUAAAUAACGUACUAACCGAUUAAAAUAAGUUUGCUGAUCAAUGAGUUAAGAUACCAUUUUUAAGAUUACAAUCAUAGAAUAACAAAGUAUGUAAGCAACUUGUUUUAUGGGGGGUCAUUUCACCCCGCCAACCCCUCUCCUAUACGCUCCUGCCACCAGCUGUGGUUCUGUUCUUACAUUCCCUGUCUUUGCUUGUUUUUGAUUGCCUUUGCUUUUCUGGCUUUGUUUUUGCUUACCUGCCGGGAAGAAAUUGUUCAAGAACGUUGACAUUUUUCUCUUUCGCUCCCGCCUUCGCCAAUUCCUCUUGCGCUCUCUUUCUUUUCGUGGUCCUUCUCGUUUCGUUACGCUUUGUUUUUGUGUUUGUUUUCGUUUUAAUGUGCACUGAGUUAAAAACUUUUUCUUGGUUUUUUCGUUUUAUUUUCGAUUUUUUUUUUAGUUCUUUUUAAUUAUUUUGUAGAAAAUAUUGAAACAAAAAUUUAAAUUAUACAUACAAUCCGUGCUUAACUGCUAAGUUUCACAUAACACAUUUUCACAUCGUACGUUUCGAAAAUAUUUUUUCUUUCAGUUUUUCACGUAAGUUUCUUGCAGUUGAAAUGCAUUUUCGGGCAAAUGAUUAACAAUUGAGGCGCGUCGACUGUAAAAUGCGAGAAAGAGAAGAACAUUCGAUUAAAAUAAGUAACGGUAAAAAAACAGUUGUUGUUUGUUUUUGCAAAACGGGGCGACAAAAUGAAAUCCCGAAACGCAACAGUGAGUGGGAGUGAGAGGGCGGUAUAGCUUGGAUUUCAUUAAAUUUUCCAAAGUGAGUCUGUGUGGGUGUACGGGGACGCUUUUUCCUGCACAUAUACAGACACAAUUGCGCGCAUAUUUGCUUACAUUUUCCACACUUUUUUCCACUUCGCACUUGGUUACUCAUAUUUUUAGAGUUUUAUAUUUAACACCAUCCAAAACACAUACACACUGAACCUAAGCCAACAUAUUGUGUAGCUCAUUGCCUGUUUCAUUGUUAGCUUUCGAAUUGUUUUCUGUCGCGUAAUUACUUUAAUGAGGAUAUUUCCUUGAAAGGAGCUGCUGUUGCUAUAUUGUAUAUAUUUUCAUUACCAUUUCCCAACGAUUUUGCAAAUAAGAAAAACGCAACACACACACCGCGCGAUUGGCGCUGCACGAAUGAAGAAAACGCAAAGAAGAUCCAACAGCCAAGCCAAAUGGAGUCCACAAACGACCCCCGAGUGUUGUAUACAUGUACGUCCGUGUGUGAGUGUGUGCACAGGAGCUCGGAUAAAAACAACAACUGCCAGCUGUGUGUGCAACACAGUGGAUGUGGAUGCCAUUCGAGGAGUGUUGGAAAAACAUCCGCGCUCAAUGGGUUACAUGGACUUUAACGCCUGAUUAAUGCUGGAUAUGACAGGCUACUGAAGUUCCAUUAUCGAAUAGAAUGUUAUUAAAUAACUUUUAAACAUGGCGAAACCCCUUUAGAGCAUUGUAACACUUCAACUUCAAGUGGCCAGGAUGUUUUGCAGAAACCCUAGCAAUUGGCGUUGUUAUACACACAUGCAUAUAUACACAAAAUAAAUACAUAUACAUUCACACAUGUAUGUAUGUUUUGGGCUGCGGGGAGUUCAACAGGACCCAACAGCUGGCCACAGGUUGCGUUCCACAUAGAGAAAUGUGGGAGCCUGGGCUCCAAGCGCGAUCCACACUCCAGCCAUAUUUGUGGAACGCGACAAACAGCUGGCUAGGAAAAGGGGAAGAGGACGCAGAGGGGAAGGGAACGAAAAAAAAAGGGGAAGAGGAAAAGCAGGAGCAAAGGAAAUAAGAACACAUAUGUAUACGAUUUGUUUGUUGAGUGGGAACAGCUGGAAAUAAUUAACUAAGUUCACUCAGAAAGCCAACUUAUUUAUAAGUGUAACUUUUUUAAAACGUGGUUGAAUAUAUUUCUAUUAUAAUUUUUUUUUUAAAUUAUGAUAAUAUUUGCACGUGGAAUUAAAAGUCAAUUCAUUAAGUUUUUAUUUUCAAUAACGAUGUUAAUCCACCACCGAAACUGAAAUUGA
Drosophila simulans is the source of this 5988-nucleotide long non-coding RNA. RefSeq lists it as uncharacterized. NCBI's taxonomy places the organism in Eukaryota, Metazoa, Arthropoda, Insecta, Diptera, Drosophilidae. The record is from RefSeq and is a predicted model, not a curated record. The transcript has 4 exons.